UGAGGUGAGACGGUCACAUGGUGAUGA
Molecule: non-coding RNA, 27 nt
Filed under: Homo sapiens (human)
Lineage: Eukaryota; Metazoa; Chordata; Mammalia; Primates; Hominidae
Source: RNAcentral